GUUACGUAUUGCCUCGCAUGAAGCAACUAUUCGAUUCCUCAAAUCAUUCUCAUUGUCAAUUAGGAUGGACACAUCUGUCAUUACAAAAUU
Long non-coding RNA from Trachymyrmex septentrionalis, 90 nucleotides. RefSeq lists it as uncharacterized. The record is from RefSeq and is a predicted model, not a curated record. Lineage: Eukaryota; Metazoa; Arthropoda; Insecta; Hymenoptera; Formicidae. The transcript is spliced from 4 exons.